AAAAAUAGUCAAUUCAGAGUCCUGUACGCCUUAGAAGUCCUUUUGAGUCGAGCACAUAAGAGGACGAAUCAAGUUGGAAGUCUCAGCUAGUGCAUAGUACACUGCCCAUGUAGUACUACACAGGAUAUCUAACUUCCGAGACGUCUAAAACUUUACUUCUCGAGGGAGGACAGAACAUUACGAGGUAGAGUUUGGUGCAUAGGUCCUAGUACACAGCCCUUGUACAGGCUCUUUCCCUUGGCUAUGUUGCACGGGUUAUGGCUUCUGGUUGCACGGCCUAUGCAAUUCUCCCAGCAUUCUAACUCUUACUUUUUGACUUCUUCACUCUUUCAAACUUGUUCUAGGCCUUAGGAUUACAUCAAAUCACUGAAAACUGAAGGAUUGAUUUCUGAAAAUAAGAGCAUUCCUAGACUUCCAAAUGCGCCAUAACAAAUAUAUCGCCA
Molecule: unclassified non-coding RNA, 443 nt
Filed under: Hevea brasiliensis (rubber tree)
Lineage: Eukaryota; Viridiplantae; Streptophyta; Magnoliopsida; Malpighiales; Euphorbiaceae
Source: RNAcentral